Non-coding RNA from Pelobates cultripes (western spadefoot toad), 245 nucleotides. The record is from the annotation of a GenBank genome assembly. NCBI's taxonomy places the organism in Eukaryota, Metazoa, Chordata, Amphibia, Anura, Pelobatidae.
UAAGGCUCUAGAUCAGGGAGAACCAAUGCAGGAAGACGAGUGUUGAAGAUUCACAUCGUAGGAUAAAUCUGGUCUGGUUCAAAGGUAACUUGUGGUGUAUGCAAACCAAGGUUAAGUGAUGCCUCAAGUAAUUGUAAAAUAUCAAGAGGCAUCAAAGGGGGGAAUGAGGUGGAAUCUCGGUAAAAAUAAAUUUAGUAGGCCGAGAUUACCACGUGGCAUGUGUACGUGCAUAUGCUGACGUAUCG